AUUGAACGCUGGCGGCAUGCUUUACACAUGCAAGUCGAACGGCAGCGCGGGCUUCGGCCUGGCGGCGAGUGGCGAACGGGUGAGUAAUGCAUCGGAACGUGCCCAGUAGUGGGGGAUAGCCCGGCGAAAGCCGGAUUAAUACCGCAUACGACCUGAGGGUGAAAGCGGGGGACCGAAAGGCCUCGCGCUAUUGGAUCGGCCGAUGUCGGAUUAGCUAGUUGGUGGGGUAAAGGCUUACCAAGGCGACGAUCCGUAGCUGGUCUGAGAGGACGACCAGCCACACUGGGACUGAGACACGGCCCAGACUCCUACGGGAGGCCGCAGUGGGGAAUUUUGGACAAUGGGGGCAACCCUGAUCCAGCCAUGCCGCGUGCGGGAAGAAGGCCUUCGGGUUGUAAAACGCUUUUGUUCGGGAAGAAAUCCUCUGGGCUAAUACCCCGGGGGGAUGACGGUACCGGAAGAAUAAGCACCGGCUAACUACGUG
RNAcentral lists this ribosomal RNA (484 nucleotides) under uncultured bacterium. RNAcentral's name for it is "partial 16S ribosomal RNA". It matches the Rfam family "Bacterial small subunit ribosomal RNA", at positions 28 to 507 of the family's 1533-position model. The record is from RNAcentral.